RNAcentral lists this ribosomal RNA (253 nucleotides) under uncultured bacterium. RNAcentral's name for it is "partial 16S ribosomal RNA". It matches the Rfam family "Bacterial small subunit ribosomal RNA", at positions 524 to 776 of the family's 1533-position model. The record is from RNAcentral.
UACGGAGGGGGCGAGCGUUAUUCGGAAUUAUUGGGCGUAAAGGGCGCGUAGGCGGCCUUGCAAGUCAAAGGUGAAAUCCCUCGGCUCAACUGAGGAACUGCCUUUGAAACUGCACGGCUUGAGGCCGGGAGGGGGUAGCGGAAUUCCCAGUGUAGCGGUGAAAUGCGUAGAUAUCGGGAGGAACACCGAUGGCGAAGGCAGGUCUCUGGGCCACUACUGACGCUGAGAAGCGAAAGCAUGGGGAGCGAACAGG